This 591-nucleotide ribosomal RNA is filed under the name Xylella fastidiosa subsp. multiplex. RNAcentral describes it as "partial 23S ribosomal RNA". It matches the Rfam family "Bacterial large subunit ribosomal RNA", at positions 343 to 919 of the family's 2925-position model. Lineage: Bacteria; Pseudomonadati; Pseudomonadota; Gammaproteobacteria; Lysobacterales; Lysobacteraceae. The record is from RNAcentral.
GCGAAAGGUCCGGCGUAGAGGGUAAGACCCCCGUAGUCGAAACGUCAGCGGCUCGUUUGAGAGACACCCAAGUAGCACGGGGCCCGAGAAAUCCCGUGUGAAUCUGGCGGGACCACCCGCUAAGCCUAAAUAUUCCCUGGUGACCGAUAGCGGAUAGUACCGUGAGGGAAUGGUGAAAAGUACCGCGGGAGCGGAGUGAAAUAGUACCUGAAACCGUGUGCCUACAAGCCGUGGGAGCGUCGGAUACGUGCUUGCACGUAUCUCGUGACUGCGUGCCUUUUGAAGAAUGAGCCUGCGAGUUUGCGGUGUGUUGCGAGGUUAACCCGAGUGGGGCAGCCGUAGCGAAAGCGAGUCCGAACAGGGCGCAUGAGUAGCACGCUCAAGACCCGAAGUGGAGUGCUAUAGCCAUGGGCAGGGUGAAGCGGAGGUAAGACUUCGUGGAGGACCGAACCCACCAGGGUUGAAAACCUGGGGGAUGACCUGUGGUUAGGGGUGAAAGGCCAAUCAAACUCCGUGAUAGCUGGUUCUCCCCGAAAUGCAUUUAGGUGCAGCGUCGUGUGUUUCUUGCCGGAGGUAGAGCACUGGAUAGGC